This 550-nucleotide ribosomal RNA is filed under the name Lyophyllum sp. TO-2011. Its description in RNAcentral is "eukaryotic LSU rRNA". The stretch from base 210 to 363 matches the Rfam family "5.8S ribosomal RNA". The record is from RNAcentral. Lineage: Eukaryota; Fungi; Basidiomycota; Agaricomycetes; Agaricales; Lyophyllaceae.
GUUGCUGGCUCUUCGGAGCAUGUGCACGCCUAGCACCAUUUUUACCACCUGUGCACCUUUUGUAGACCUGGAUAUCUCUCGAGGAAACUCGGUUUGAGGAUUGCUGUGCGAAAGCCAGCUUUCCUUACAUUUCCGGUCUAUGUCUUUAUAUACCCCAUAAGAAUGUAACAGAAUGUUAUUAAUUGGCCUUUGUGCCUUUAAUCAAAUACAACUUUCAGCAACGGAUCUCUUGGCUCUCGCAUCGAUGAAGAACGCAGCGAAAUGCGAUAAGUAAUGUGAAUUGCAGAAUUCAGUGAAUCAUCGAAUCUUUGAACGCACCUUGCGCUCCCUGGUAUUCCGGGGAGCAUGCCUGUUUGAGUGUCAUUAAAUUCUCAACCUUUCCAGCUUUUACUAGCUUGGUCAGGCUUGGAUGUGGGGGUUGCGGGCUUCUCAGAAGUCGGCUCUCCUUAAAUGCAUUAGUGAAACCUUUGUUGACCAUCUCUGGUGUGAUAAUUAUCUACGCCGUUGAAAGUCUUCAUUUAUUGAGGUUCUGCUUCUAACCGUCCUUUAG